UACGGGAGGUAGCAGUGGGGAAUAUUGCACAAUGGGCGCAAGCCUGAUGCAGCCAUGCCGCGUGUAUGAAGAAGGCCUUCGGGUUGUAAAGUACUUUCAGUCGUGAGGAAGGUGUUAAGGUUAAUAACCUUAGCAAUUGACGUUAGCGACAGAAGAAGCACCGGCUAACUCCGUGCCAGCAGCCGCGGUAAUACGGAGGGUGCGAGCGUUAAUCGGAAUUACUGGGCGUAAAGGGCACGCAGGCGGUUAAUUAAGUUGGAUGUGAAAUCCCCGGGCUUAACCUGGGAAUGGCAUUCAAGACUGGUUAGCUAGAGUCUUGUAGAGGGGGUAGAAUUCCAUGUGUAGCGGUGAAAUGCGUAGAGAUGUGGAGGAAUACCGGUGGCGAAGGCGGCCCCUGGACAAAGACUGACGCUCAUGUGCGAAAGCGUGGGGAGCAAACAGGGAUUAGAUACC
This 453-nucleotide ribosomal RNA is filed under the name uncultured bacterium. Its description in RNAcentral is "bacterial SSU rRNA". It matches the Rfam family "Bacterial small subunit ribosomal RNA", at positions 340 to 786 of the family's 1533-position model. The record is from RNAcentral.